Erinaceus europaeus (western European hedgehog) is the source of this 343-nucleotide unclassified non-coding RNA. Its record names the gene 7SK. It matches the Rfam family "7SK RNA". From Rfam's summary of the family: 7SK was discovered as an abundant small nuclear RNA in the mid-70s but a possible function has only recently been suggested. Two independent studies have found that 7SK RNA binds the CDK9/cyclin T complex (known as elongation factor P-TEFb). Lineage: Eukaryota; Metazoa; Chordata; Mammalia; Eulipotyphla; Erinaceidae. The record is from Ensembl.
GGAUGUGUGAGAGACCUGGCUGUGACAUCCGUCACCCCAUUGAUCGCCAGGGUUGCUACAUUCGGCUGAUCUGGCUGGCUAGGCAGGUGUCCCCUUUCUCCCUCACUGCUCCAUGUGUGUCCCUCCCGAAGUGGUGCGCUCAGUCGAAGAGGAUGGCCUUCCCUGAAAAGAGAUGAACCAGUCUUCGGUCAAGAGUAUGUGAGUAGCUGUGAUCCCCUGCUCUCAACAAGUAAAUUCUCGACAAGUAAAGCCUCGGUGGUGAGACAGUAGACAGAGCACUGGACUUUCAAGCAUGAGCUAUUGAAUUCAACCCCAGGUAUUGCAUGUGCCAGAGUGAUGCUCU